UUCCCCUAGUAACUGCGAGUGAAGAGGGAAGAGCUCAAAUUUGGAAUCUGAUGGCGUGACGGCCGUCCGAGUUGUCAUCUAGAGAAGUGUUCUUCUGCGCUGGGCCGUGUACAAGUCUCCUGGAAGGGAGCAUCACAGAGGGUGACAAUCCCGUCUUUGACACGGAGAAGCCAGGGCUUAUGUGAAGGCGCUCUCAACGAGUCGAGUUGUUUGGGAAUGCAGCUCUAAACGGGUGGUAAAUUCCAUCUAAAGCUAAACAUGGGCGAGAGACCGAUAGCGAACAAGUACCGUGAGGGAAAGAUGAAAAGAACUUUGGAAAGAGAGUUAAACAGUAUGUGAAAUUGCUGAAAGGGAAACGCUCGACGUCAGUCGCGUUGGCUUAGGGAUCAACCUUGCAAGUCGCAAGACUUUGCUGGGUGUACUUCCUGGCUGACGGGUCAACGUCAGUCUCGUUCGCUGUAAAAGGGCUGGAGAAAGGUAGCACUCCUAGGAGUGUGUUAUAGUCUUUGGUCGAAUGCAAUGAAAGGGACUGAGGAACUCUGCACAGACCAGGGAGGACUU
RNAcentral lists this ribosomal RNA (561 nucleotides) under Austroboletus subvirens. RNAcentral describes it as "LSU rRNA". It matches the Rfam family "Eukaryotic large subunit ribosomal RNA", at positions 75 to 626 of the family's 3401-position model. The record is from RNAcentral. RNAcentral also lists the same sequence under 1 other name. Lineage: Eukaryota; Fungi; Basidiomycota; Agaricomycetes; Boletales; Boletaceae.